CCAUCAUUUCAGCCGAACGGCGUAUUUUCUUGUUCAGCAUUGAUAGAUUUUUUUUUUAACCUUAGAAGUUCCUCUCGAGGGACUCUAUUAGGGAUGCUGUCAUUUUUUAUUCUGCUCUGUUACCUCUCCUUUGUAAACUUUGAUGUAUGCAGACAACACAUUUCCGGCUAGGGAAAUUUAAUUAGAGCAGCAAGAGAGAUCUAUCAUAAAGAGCAACCCAAGUCCUGCCAGCUUCCUGAGCAAGAAGAAAGGGCACCUCAAUCACUGGCCUUCCAAGACGACAAGGAGGAAAAGCACCUAUCGAACUUCUGAUGUUCCUCAUACAUAUAUAUGUUUUUUGGCUGAGGAAGAUUCACCCUGAGCUAACAUCUGUGCCUAUUCUCCUCUAUUUUGUAUGUGGGUCACUGCCACGGCAUGGCUGCUAAAGAGUGGUGUAGGUCCACAUGGGGGAACCGAACCUGAGCCACCCAAGCAGAGUGUGCCAAACUUAACAACUAGGCCAUGGGGCCGGCCCCUCAUAUUCGUUAUAUUUAACCACCCUUGACUGUUGACUUGAUAACAGAAGUUUUGUGCUGAAACCUUGGUCGACUAAAGGCAUCUGUCAGGACUAGGGAAAUACAGAGGGUGCUCCAGAUGAACGCUGCUCCGUCUCCUCACCCACUAGGCUCCAUCUUACUGCAACUCACUUCAUUAUCUGCUUGGGUGAUUUCUGGAACCAGAGAAAACAGGGCAAGAGUCCUGGGGGCAGACACAUAAUUUAUCAACAUAAAUUUUAGUCUCACCACUGAUCUUUCCUCCCCUUUUGGAAACUUCAGAGAGAGUUGAGCAGGCUAGUGAGAUUCCAGGCUGGAUGGUUGCCAUUUAUAAAUAGCAUUACAAGAACGCUACCCAGAGUUCUUUUGAUUUGCCAGCAUCUAUCAGUUGGAUACAAUGAUCAGACAGAUAAUGGAGUUGCUACUUGGAGAAUGUCCCUUUGUGUAGCAGAGAAGGCUGAGUUUGCCCAGGAUAUAUUUAUUGGCUGAGUGACAGCUCUGCAUGCCCUGAAUCAAGGUGUGGCACUGCCGGCGGAUGCUAUGGAGAACUCAGCUGGAACAAAGUGUCACAUCACAUGUUGCCACGGAAGCAGCGUCUUGACCGAGUGGUACCUGUAAAAGGGAAAUGUUUAACGAUGAAUAACUUUGUUUGAAGCUCUGCUCACUCCACAUUUCCAUGCAAAAUGAAACCACAGGAGGCAUGAAAAUCUCCAAAGGGCCUUUAUACAUAGAUUAAUGUGGUAAUUCUCUCAUUACUAUGUUCUGAAGAAGAGCUUCUUACACCAGGCUCUGUGCUUUGCCUUCAGUUAUAACAUGGCUUUGCAUUAAGUGUUUUAAUAAAAUGUGAAAUUAAAUGAUCAUCCCUGGUGAUAUGCAGCUUUUGGUUGAAGUAAGGAAAAAUGUAACUUCUACAGUGCAUGAAAGCCAAAGAGAUUAUUUUGCCUCCAAUGAAGAGAUCAUUGGUCAAAUGACGUGGUUUCCUACGGGUCUGCCUCUCUCCAUUAAUUGGGAAUUUGUUAUUACUCUCUCUUUCACUUUUAGAAUUACAAACAAUGUAACCAAUUUAUAGCAAUGGAAUAGGCAUGCCGUUAGAAGCGAACCAGUUUAAUUUAUUCUUUUUUGUACAUUUAGCCAGGUAUUGG
This is a long non-coding RNA of Equus caballus (horse), 1675 nucleotides long. NCBI's taxonomy places the organism in Eukaryota, Metazoa, Chordata, Mammalia, Perissodactyla, Equidae. The record is from Ensembl.